GACAGAGGGUGCAAACGUUGUUCGGAAUUACUGGGCGUAAAGCGCGUGUAGGCGGGCGUGCAAGUCUGCUGUGAAAGCUCCUGGCUUAACCGGGAGUGGUCGGUGGAAACUGCACACCUGGAGGACGGUAGAGGUAGGUAGAAUUCCCGGUGUAGUGGUGAAAUGCGUAGAGAUCGGGAGGAAUACCUGUGGCGAAGGCGGCCUACUGGGCCGGACCUGACGCUGAGACGCGAAGGCGUGGGGAGCGAACGGG
RNAcentral lists this ribosomal RNA (253 nucleotides) under uncultured bacterium. RNAcentral describes it as "partial 16S ribosomal RNA". It matches the Rfam family "Bacterial small subunit ribosomal RNA", at positions 524 to 776 of the family's 1533-position model. The record is from RNAcentral.